AGUGAGAAAUGUCGGCGAGCGGCGGACGGCUGAGUAACGCGUAGGAACAUACCCCAAAGUGAGGGAUAACUGCCCGAAAGGGUGGCUAAUACCGCAUGUGGUCUUCGGAUUAAAGCUUUAUGCGCUUUGGGAAUGGCCUGCGUUCGAUUAGCUAGUUGGUGAGGUAAUAGCUCACCAAGGCGAUGAUCGAUAGCUGGUCUGAGAGGAUGAUCAGCCAGACUGGAACUGAGACACGGUCCAGACUCC
Molecule: ribosomal RNA, 246 nt
Filed under: uncultured bacterium
Lineage: Bacteria
Description: partial 16S ribosomal RNA
Rfam family: Bacterial small subunit ribosomal RNA
Source: RNAcentral